Molecule: ribosomal RNA, 435 nt
Filed under: uncultured bacterium
Lineage: Bacteria
Description: partial 16S ribosomal RNA
Rfam family: Bacterial small subunit ribosomal RNA
Source: RNAcentral
AACGAACGCUGGCGGCAUGCUUAACACAUGCAAGUCGAACGAUAGCCUUCGGGCGAUCGCGGCGCACGGGUGCGUAACGCGGGGGAGUCUCCCCUUAGGUUCGGAAUUACAGCUGGAAACGGCUGCUAAUAACCGAGGAUAUCGCGAGAUCAAAGAAUUAACGCCUGAGGAUGAGCCCGCAUUGGCUGAGGUGGUUGGUGGGGUAAAGGCCUCCCAAGCCGACGAUCCAUAGGGUGUCUGAGAGGCUGAUCCGCCACACUGAGACUAGGAAGCGGCACAGAAUCCUCCGCGAGGCGGCAAUGGGGGAUAUUGCACAGUCGGCUGAAGCCUGAACCAGCACUGCCGCGAAAGUGAUGAAGUCCGUAGGGUUGUAAAGCUCUUUUAACCGGGAAGAUAAUGACGGUACCGAGAGAAUAAGCCCCGGCUAACUCCGUG